CACGUAGGGCGCAAGCGUUGUCCGGAAUUAUUGGGCGUAAAGAGCUCGUAGGCGGUCUGUUGCGUCCGCUGUGAAAACCCAGGGCUUAACCCUGGGCUGGCAGUGGAUACGGACAGACUAGAGGUAGGUAGGGGAGAAUGGAAUUCCCGGUGUAGCGGUGAAAUGCGCAGAUAUCGGGAAGAACACCCGUGGCGAAGGCGGCUCUCUGGGACGGUACUGACGCUGAGACGCGAAAGCGUGGGGAGCGAACAGG
Molecule: ribosomal RNA, 253 nt
Filed under: uncultured bacterium
Lineage: Bacteria
Description: partial 16S ribosomal RNA
Rfam family: Bacterial small subunit ribosomal RNA
Source: RNAcentral